UGAACAUUGAACCUUUCUGUGGACAUUCAUUUACGUUUGCGUAGAAUUUUCUUACAACAUGAACUAACCAAAGCUCUCCAAUUUCUGUCCAGUAAAGAAGUGAAGAAAAACAAACUCAAAAAUGCCUGAUGCAGUUCGGAUAAAGUUAUAAAGAACAUUUAAAAACAGAAAAUGCUACGCUAUAGCAAUGGAGGAAGAAUAAGCAAAAGCAUGUCCCUUUGAUGGGGGCAAAACAGAUUGUAAUUUCUUUAUCAUUUCAUUGAUCUCCCUCAGCUUGUCUGUGUUAUCAGAUUGCUGUAAAAAUCUCUCCAACAUCCGAUAUACAACUUCACUCAAACGCAUUCCUCUCUCCAAAAAUUGUUUCGAGCACUCGAAUGCUUCUUGCAACCUCCCCCGCGAGCACAAUGCUGUAACUAACAGAUCCAAUGCAUGACCAUGGGGACAAUAUCCCUUCUCCAACAAGUAUUGCCAAAAAUCCAAUCCCAAAUCAACCUGGCCAUUUACACAAAAGAAUUUCAUCAACAUGACCAUAGUCUGAGUUUUCGGAACAAAUUUCCUGCCGAUCAUCUUGUGGUAAAGCUCAUAAACGCCCUCAGUGUCAUUCUGUUUCAGCAAUCCCAAGAAAAUUGUAUGAUAGGUCACACCAUCAUGACCAAUAUGCUUCUCUUCCAUCUCAUCCAUCAAACUCAUGGCAGACUUCAAUUCUCUACAUUUAAUGAGUGAGCUGAUCAAAGCAUUAUAAGCCCCAGUGUCAGGCUGCAAGUUUCUCCUGCAAAUUUCAUCAAAUAAUUGCCUGGCCUUGAUUGCAUUUCGAGCAACCCCAGCUCCAUGAAUCAAAGUAGUGAUCGCUUCCAAUGUAGGCAGGCAAUUAAUCCGUUCCAUUUCUUCAAAGAUUCUUAAACCAUCACCAAAAUAACCUUUCUUACAGUAAGCAUCAAUCCGAAUAUUAUAAGUUAGAGUGGUUGGCUUAAAGCCUCUUCGAAGAAUCUCAUGGUAAAAAAGCUCCAUUGCAGUAACAUCUCCUGAUUCCUUAAAUCCCAAAAGCAAGAUAUUCAUGGUCUUGGCAUUUGGAUUAAAUCGAUCAUGCAUCUUUUGAAACACUGAACGUGCCUCUUUCACCUCCCUUUGAGUGCAAAAUGCUCGAAGGAGUACAUUGAACUCUUCAGUACCAAAAGUCUUCCCGACAAAAACCUCUUUCUCCAUCCUAUCAAAUGCUUCAAGAGUGUCUUCAUAGGAUUGAAACUUGGCAAUUUUUGAUAGCAUGAUGCUCAUUGACUUAAGGGUAAGCAAGGAAGGGUGUGUUUUUCCAAUUUCCACCAUAAACUCCCAAGCUUUCUCAAAAUACCGCAUCCGUGUAAGGAUGUGGAGAGUCACUUCAAAGGCAAAUGAACUCGGAAUAAAAUGGGAAUGAUGUAGGGAAAACCUGAAGAACUCCAAGGCUUUGAGGCCAUUGGAAUGAGCUGCAAAAAGGCGGCCAAGAACAUUCUCAACAAAGACCGUAGAGAGAGACCCCGGUGAGAGAUGCUUCAAGAGGGUGGGGUGUAACGGUUCAUCAGGAAAGCAAUUAUCGUUGAUGAUUUUGGUAAUUCUUUCAACUUCAGUCAAGCUGGAUAAUUUACAAGUAAUAAGGAAAAGAAAAUGAGGUCGCUUGCGAGUGAUUUGAAAGAGUUGAUUACAUCUGCUCAAUGUUAACAAAGAAAGCAUUAUCCUUAUUCCCUUGUGAAAUUUAGAUUGCAACUAGUCUUCCAUUUCAGGCCACAACACGUCAGCACCUUUGAUGCUGCAAUAGAUUACUAACAGAGGAAAUAUUUGUGCAGAAGUGAUCAUUCACUGCUUCUACCUCAGCUUCAAAGAUCUUACACAGGAAAAAUCAGGGAAAAGACCAAUUAACCACAUUUAUAGAAUGUUGGGACGGCAGCGAUGACAAGGCUUGUAAAAGCUAUAGAAUUCUGCAUGCAUUCAAAUUUACUAAUAUUUAUAAGCAAUAAGCCAAGUUAAUAAAUCUCACUGUCAAAAAAUUCAAUUCCAUACAACAUGGU
This 2039-nucleotide unclassified non-coding RNA is filed under the name Hevea brasiliensis (rubber tree). Lineage: Eukaryota; Viridiplantae; Streptophyta; Magnoliopsida; Malpighiales; Euphorbiaceae. The record is from RNAcentral.